GUCCAAACUCCUACGGGAGGCAGCAGUGGGGAAUAUUGCACAAUGGGCGAAAGCCUGAUGCAGCAACGCCGCGUGAGUGAUGAAGGCCUUCGGGUCGUAAAACUCUGUCCUCAAGGAAGAUAAUGACGGUACUUGAGGAGGAAGCCCCGGCUAACUACGUGCCAGCAGCCGCGGUAAUACGUAGGGGGCUAGCGUUAUCCGGAUUUACUGGGCGUAAAGGGUGCGUAGGCGGUCUUUCAAGUCAGGAGUGAAAGGCUACGGCUCAACCGUAGUAAGCUCUUGAAACUGGGAGACUUGAGUGCAGGAGAGGAGAGUGGAAUUCCUAGUGUAGCGGUGAAAUGCGUAGAUAUUAGGAGGAACACCAGUUGCGAAGGCGGCUCUCUGGACUGUAACUGACGCUGAGGCACGAAAGCGUGGGGAGCAAACAGGAUUAGAUACCCUGGUAGUCCACGCUGUAAACGAUGAGUACUAGGUGUCGGGGGUUACCCCCUUCG
Molecule: ribosomal RNA, 494 nt
Filed under: uncultured bacterium
Lineage: Bacteria
Description: bacterial SSU rRNA
Rfam family: Bacterial small subunit ribosomal RNA
Source: RNAcentral